Molecule: ribosomal RNA, 424 nt
Filed under: Verrucomicrobiota bacterium
Lineage: Bacteria; Pseudomonadati; Verrucomicrobiota
Description: Verrucomicrobia bacterium partial 16S ribosomal RNA
Rfam family: Bacterial small subunit ribosomal RNA
Source: RNAcentral
UGAGGAAUAUUGGUCAAUGGGCGAGAGCCUGAACCAGCCAAGUAGCGUGCAGGAUGACGGCCCUAUGGGUUGUAAACUGCUUUUAUGUGGGGAUAAAGCGCGUGACGUGUCAUGCAUUGCAGGUACCACAUGAAUAAGGACCGGCUAAUUCCGUGCCAGCAGCCGCGGUAAUACGGAAGGUCCGGGCGUUAUCCGGAUUUAUUGGGUUUAAAGGGAGCGUAGGCUGUCUAUUAAGCGUGUUGUGAAAUUUACCGGCUCAACCGGUGGCUUGCAGCGCGAACUGGUCGACUUGAGUAUGCAGGAAGUAGGCGGAAUUCAUGGUGUAGCGGUGAAAUGCUUAGAUAUCAUGACGAACUCCGAUUGCGCAGGCAGCUUACGGGAGCGCAACUGACGCUGAAGCUCGAAGGUGCGGGUAUCGAACAGG